Molecule: ribosomal RNA, 552 nt
Filed under: Ateleute boitata
Lineage: Eukaryota; Metazoa; Arthropoda; Insecta; Hymenoptera; Ichneumonidae
Description: partial 16S large subunit ribosomal RNA
Rfam family: Bacterial large subunit ribosomal RNA (bases 405-552)
Source: RNAcentral
UCGCCUGUUUAUCAAAAACAUCUCUUUUUGAAAUUAAUAUAAAGUAUGAUCUGCUCAAUGAUUAUUUAAAUAGCUGCAGUAAUUUGACUGUACAAAGGUAGCAUAAUCAAUAGUUUCUUAAUUGGAAGCUGGAAUGAAGGAUUGAAUGAAAUAAUAAUUGUCUCAAAUUUAAUAGUAAUAGAAUUUUUUAUAUUAGUUAAAAAGCUAAUAUGAUCUUAAAAGACGAGAAGACCCUAUAGAUUUUUAUAGUUUUAAUUAAAAAUUAUUUUUAUAUAAGAUUAAAUUUAUAGUUAAAAUUAUUUAAUUGGGGUAAUUUAUAAAUUAAUUAAAUUUUAUAAUUUUUUUAACAAUGAUUAUUGAUUAAAUGAUCCUUAAUAAAGAUAGUUAGAAUAAAAUACCUUAGGGAUAACAGCGUAAUUUUUUUGGAGAGAUCAUAUUAAUAAAAAAGAUUGCGACCUCGAUGUUGAAUUAAAAUAAAAUUAUAAUGGAGAAGUUAUAAAAUUUUGGUCUGUUCGACCAUUGAAAUUUUACGUGAUCUGAGUUCAGACCGGA